RNAcentral lists this ribosomal RNA (1844 nucleotides) under Salmonella enterica subsp. enterica serovar Mbandaka. RNAcentral describes it as "partial 23S ribosomal RNA". It matches the Rfam family "Bacterial large subunit ribosomal RNA", at positions 1 to 1693 of the family's 2925-position model. Lineage: Bacteria; Pseudomonadati; Pseudomonadota; Gammaproteobacteria; Enterobacterales; Enterobacteriaceae. The record is from RNAcentral.
GGGUUGUGAGGUUAAGCGACUAAGCGUACACGGUGGAUGCCCUGGCAGUCAGAGGCGAUGAAGGGCGUGCUAAUCUGCGAUAAGCGCCGGUAAGGUGAUAUGAACCGUUAUAACCGGCGAUACCCGAAUGGGGAAACCCAGUGUGACUCGUCACACUAUCAUUAACUGAAUCCAUAGGUUAAUGAGGCGAACCGGGGGAACUGAAACAUCUAAGUACCCCGAGGAAAAGAAAUCAACCGAGAUUCCCCCAGUAGCGGCGAGCGAACGGGGAGGAGCCCAGAGCCUGAAUCAGCAUGUGUGUUAGUGGAAGCGUCUGGAAAGGCGCGCGAUACAGGGUGACAGCCCCGUACACAAAAGCGCAUGUGCUGUGAGCUCGAUGAGUAGGGCGGGACACGUGGUAUCCUGUCUGAAUAUGGGGGGACCAUCCUCCAAGGCUAAAUACUCCUGACUGACCGAUAGUGAACCAGUACCGUGAGGGAAAGGCGAAAAGAACCCCGGCGAGGGGAGUGAAAAAGAACCUGAAACCGUGUACGUACAAGCAGUGGGAGCCCCACCACUAAGCCAGUGGUGAACUCCACAUACGCAUCCUUUGCUGAGGAUACGGUUAACGGAGCGAAAGCGACGUUCAACCUCAAAAGAAGCAGAGGGGGCUUAGUGGUGGGGUGACUGCGUACCUUUUGUAUAAUGGGUCAGCGACUUAUAUUCUGUAGCAAGGUUAACCGCAUAGGGGAGCCGUAGGGAAACCGAGUCUUAACCGGGCGUUAAGUUGCAGGGUAUAGACCCGAAACCCGGUGAUCUAGCCAUGGGCAGGUUGAAGGUUGGGUAACACUAACUGGAGGACCGAACCGACUAAUGUUGAAAAAUUAGCGGAUGACCUGUGGCUGGGGGUGAAAGGCCAAUCAAACCGGGAGAUAGCUGGUUCUCCCCGAAAGCUAUUUAGGUAGCGCCUCGUGAAUUCAUCUCCGGGGGUAGAGCACUGUUUCGGCUAGGGGGCCAUCCCGGCUUACCAACCCGAUGCAAACUGCGAAUACCGGAGAAUGUUAUCACGGGAGACACACGGCGGGUGCUAACGUCCGUCGUGAAGAGGGAAACAACCCAGACCGCCAGCUAAGGUCCCAAAGUCAUGGUUAAGUGGGAAACGAUGUGGGAAGGCCCAGACAGCCAGGAUGUUGGCUUAGAAGCAGCCAUCAUUUAAAGAAAGCGUAAUAGCUCACUGGUCGAGUCGGCCUGCGCGGAAGAUGUAACGGGGCUAAACCAUGCACCGAAGCUGCGGCAGCGAACGUAUCACCCAAGACAACUUUACGGAGUUGACGAUUGACGGAGCGAAGCGACGUCAAAGCGUUCAUUAAAGUCGAGUUGGCUUAGGGAUACGUUCGUUGGGUAGGGGAGCGUUCUGUAAGCCUGUGAAGGUGGCCUGUGAGGGUUGCUGGAGGUAUCAGAAGUGCGAAUGCUGACAUAAGUAACGAUAAAGCGGGUGAAAAGCCCGCUCGCCGGAAGACCAAGGGUUCCUGUCCAACGUUAAUCGGGGCAGGGUGAGUCGACCCCUAAGGCGAGGCCGAAAGGCGUAGUCGAUGGGAAACGGGUUAAUAUUCCCGUACUUGGUGUUACUGCGAAGGGGGGACGGAGAAGGCUAUGUUGGCCGGGCGACGGUUGUCCCGGUUUAAGCGUGUAGGCUGGUUUUCCAGGCAAAUCCGGAAAAUCAAGGCUGAGGCGUGAUGACGAGGCACUACGGUGCUGAAGCAACAAAUGCCCUGCUUCCAGGAAAAGCCUCUAAGCAUCAGGUAACAUCAAAUCGUACCCCAAACCGACACAGGUGGUCAGGUAGAGAAUACCAAGGCGCUUGA